Cercocebus atys (sooty mangabey) is the source of this 103-nucleotide small nuclear RNA. The record is from Ensembl. NCBI's taxonomy places the organism in Eukaryota, Metazoa, Chordata, Mammalia, Primates, Cercopithecidae.
UUGUUUCAGCAGCACAUAUUCUAAGACUGGAUCAAUACAGAGCAGAUAAGCAUGGCUGCUGCCUGAGGAUGGCACACAGAUUCAGAAAACAUUCCACAUGUUG